GUGAAUCAUCGAAUCUUUGAACGCAUAUUGCACUCUCUGGUAUUCCGGAGAGUAUGCCUGUUUGAGGGUCAUUUAAAAUAAUAUAACUUCCAGAAUUUACCGGAAUUUAAAAUGGGUGGUCCGUUUUUUGUAGUUGCCUAAAAUCAAAAACAAUGUAAUUUUCUGUCGUUCCUUGAUUCUUUG
Molecule: unclassified non-coding RNA, 183 nt
Filed under: Ambisporaceae sp.
Lineage: Eukaryota; Fungi; Glomeromycota; Glomeromycetes; Archaeosporales; Ambisporaceae
Description: partial contains 5.8S ribosomal RNA and internal transcribed spacer 2
Rfam family: 5.8S ribosomal RNA (bases 1-71)
Source: RNAcentral